This 796-nucleotide ribosomal RNA is filed under the name uncultured bacterium. RNAcentral's name for it is "bacterial SSU rRNA". It matches the Rfam family "Bacterial small subunit ribosomal RNA", at positions 741 to 1533 of the family's 1533-position model. The record is from RNAcentral.
UGACGCUGAGGAGCGAAAGCGUGGGGAGCAAACAGGCUUAGAUACCCUGGUAGUCCACGCCGUAAACGGUGGGCACUAGGUGUGGGACUCAUUCCACGAGUUCCGUGCCGAAGCUAACGCAUUAAGUGCCCCGCCUGGGGAGUACGGCCGCAAGGCUAAAACUCAAAGGAAUUGACGGGGGCCCGCACAAGCGGCGGAGCAUGCGGAUUAAUUCGAUGCAACGCGAAGAACCUUACCUGGGUUUGACAUAUACCGGAAAGCUGCAGAGAUGUAGCCCCCGCAAGGUCGGUAUACAGGUGGUGCAUGGCUGUCGUCAGCUCGUGUCGUGAGAUGUUGGGUUAAGUCCCGCAACGAGCGCAACCCUCGUCCUAUGUUGCCAGCACGUAAUGGUGGGGACUCAUAGGAGACUGCCGGGGUCAACUCGGAGGAAGGUGGGGAUGACGUCAAGUCAUCAUGCCCCUUAAGUCCAGGGCUUCACGCAUGCUACAAUGGCCGGUACAAAGAGCUGCGAAACCGCAAGGUUAAGCGAAUCUCAAAAAGCCGGCCUCAGUUCGGAUUGGGGUCUGCAACUCGACCCCAUGAAGUCGGAGUCGCUAGUAAUCGCAGAUCAGCAAUGCUGCGGUGAAUACGUUCCCGGGCCUUGUACACACCGCCCGUCAAGUCAUGAAAGUCGGUAACACCCGAAGCCGGUGGCCCAACCCGCAAGGGAGGGAGCUGUCGAAGGUGGGACUGGCGAUUAGGACUAAGUCGUAACAAGGUAGCCGUACCGGAAGGUGCGGCUGGAUCACCUCCUUAA